Molecule: non-coding RNA, 260 nt
Organism: Pelobates cultripes (western spadefoot toad)
Lineage: Eukaryota; Metazoa; Chordata; Amphibia; Anura; Pelobatidae
Source: the annotation of a GenBank genome assembly
AUAGUAAUAUCACAAGCUGGUGAAUAACCUUUUCUAGCCGUUAGUCACUCCUGUAAUACAAAGUUUCACUAUGGAAACUCAGCUAUGUUUCCCUUGGAGACCAUGUUACUGCUGGCAGGCCAUAAUUGUUAUGUCUCCUAGGUAUUUCAUUACAUCUUGCAUCAGAAUUGUUCAAUUCACAUGGGUCAUGUGUAGCACAUGAUAAAUAGAUAGAUUGGCCUAUCGUUUCAAUGGGCGUUUUCCAUCCAGUAAUAUUAUAU